GUAAACGAUGAAUACUCGCUGUUUGCGAUAUACAGUAAGCGGCCAAGCGAAAGCGUUAAGUAUUCCACCUGGGGAGUACGCCGGCAACGGUGAAACUCAAAGGAAUUGACGGGGGCCCGCACAAGCGGAGGAACAUGUGGUUUAAUUCGAUGAUACGCGAGGAACCUUACCCGGGCUUGAAUUGCACUCGAAUAUGGUUGAAAGAUCAUAGCCGCAAGGCGAGUGUGAAGGUGCUGCAUGGUCGUCGUCAGCUCGUGCCGCGAGGUGUCGGCUUAAGUGCCAUAACGAGCGCAACCCUUAUUUCCAGUUACCAUCGGGUCAUGCCGGGGACUCUGGAAAGACUGCCGUCGUAAGAUGUGAGGAAGGUGGGGAUGACGUCAAAUCAGCACGGCCCUUACGUCCGGGGCUACACACGUGUUACAAUGGGUGGUACAGAAGGCAGCUACACGGCAACGUGAUGCUAAUCCCAAAAACCACUCUCAGUUCGGAU
This 490-nucleotide ribosomal RNA is filed under the name uncultured bacterium. RNAcentral describes it as "bacterial SSU rRNA". It matches the Rfam family "Bacterial small subunit ribosomal RNA", at positions 802 to 1298 of the family's 1533-position model. The record is from RNAcentral.